RNAcentral lists this ribosomal RNA (483 nucleotides) under uncultured bacterium. RNAcentral's name for it is "bacterial SSU rRNA". It matches the Rfam family "Bacterial small subunit ribosomal RNA", at positions 28 to 526 of the family's 1533-position model. The record is from RNAcentral.
GACGAACGCUGGCGGCGUGCUUAACACAUGCAAGUCGAGCGGAAAGGCCCUUUCGGGGGUACUCGAGCGGCGAACGGGUGAGUAACACGUGAGUAACCUGCCCUUCACUUUGGGAUAACCCUCGGAAACGGGGGCUAAUACCGGAUAUGACUGCUGGCCGCAUGGUUGGUGGUGGAAAGAUUUUUUGGUGGGGGAUGGGCUCGCGGCCUAUCAGCUUGUUGGUGGGGUGAUGGCCUACCAAGGCGACGACGGGUAGCCGGCCUGAGAGGGCGACCGGCCACACUGGGACUGAGACACGGCCCAGACUCCUACGGGAGGCAGCAGUGGGGAAUAUUGCACAAUGGGCGGAAGCCUGAUGCAGCGACGCCGCGUGAGGGAUGACGGCCUUCGGGUUGUAAACCUCUUUCAGCACCGACGAAGCGAGAGUGACGGUAGGUGCAGAAGAAGCGCCGGCCAACUACGUGCCAGCAGCCGCAGUAAUAC